Molecule: long non-coding RNA, 263 nt
Filed under: Glycine max (soybean)
Lineage: Eukaryota; Viridiplantae; Streptophyta; Magnoliopsida; Fabales; Fabaceae
Description: long non-coding RNA (GMAX_LNC001581)
Source: RNAcentral
CUCGCUACCUGGCUUUGCUUCCCCCUCUUCUUCUUUCCCUAUCCUUCCCUUUGUACUUCGACACCUCCACAACCUCACAGUCAUGUGAUGCCACUCUUCCUCUUCACUCAUGUUUUCCCUCUCUUCAAUUUGUUGCAAUCGCCAUCAUCUAUGGGACUGAGAGAAAUUUGCAAAUCUGGACUUUCAAAAGUGUUUCGAAGUCGUUUUCAUGGAGGAAGAUGAGACCCACAACGACAGUGUCAUUCCUUGAGGUUGCAGAUGGC